GCAUUGCACAACACUCACAGAGAGGAUUCUCAAAGGCUUGAUGGAUGAAGAUGUAUAGUAGUGGGUACUGUUACUCUCCCUAUUUUUCAGAUGAAGAAGCUGAGGCUUGGAGAGAUUAAG
Long non-coding RNA from Myotis davidii, 120 nucleotides. RefSeq lists it as uncharacterized. The record is from RefSeq and is a predicted model, not a curated record. Lineage: Eukaryota; Metazoa; Chordata; Mammalia; Chiroptera; Vespertilionidae. The transcript is spliced from 2 exons.